Numida meleagris (helmeted guineafowl) is the source of this 1698-nucleotide long non-coding RNA. The record is from Ensembl. NCBI's taxonomy places the organism in Eukaryota, Metazoa, Chordata, Aves, Galliformes, Numididae.
UUACUGAUUUAUUGGUGUGUGGUUAUAUUAAAAUCUCCUAUCAAGCCCCUGUAAAAGAAUUCUGUUGUUGCACUUCUUCAUAAUUGGGAUUCUUCUAAUCUAUUAAGUCGUUCUGGUGCUAGUUUGAUUAACAUUGUGUUUCGGUGGGGACUAGAUUUAGACAUGUGAAAUAAAUCUGUCAUUUUCAUGGACAAUGAAAAUAAAUUUGGGGGAUUUCUGUCCAAAAUAAUCAAUUUUUUUCCUUGGUUGUCUGUCUGAUACAGUAUCUGUUUUUCUGGAUCAUCAAAGAUGCAAAAUAUUUCUAUGCUAGUGAUUUUUAGUUACUUCAUUUAAAGUAUUUAGCAGCAAUGUUUUUGCAAAUUUGUCACACAGUUGUCCAUAUCACAAAACUGUAAAGAUAUGGUCAUCUGAAAAGGGGGGAAAAAAGAUAACAAGACUCUUUCCAAAUUUUUUUUUUUUUUUUUUGUAAUUCUUCUGUGUAUGUUUGGGGUUUAGUGACAGGUUCCUUUUUUGUUCCCAGCUAUUCCACAAGAAGGAACAGCCCUGAGAAUGGCAAAGUAAAUCUGCAGUACCCAAAGAGCACAACAUCCAGAACACUGACGGUCAAUGGGAAUGUCCAGACAUCCCAUUAUGCCUACAAAAUGGAAGACACUGGACUGAUUUGUGCAGUAAGAAAAAAAAAUUGGGUAACAAAGAGAGAGAAAAAAUAAAGAUGAGAACUGUUGCCAUGUUCCCUCGUUGCAGUUCUCCCACCCCUUCAUAGUUUCUAAGAAUGCUCUGCAGGAGCAGCUGAAGAGAAGCUGGCAACACAAACGCAACACAUCAAGUGGCGAGUGAGAAGAGUUACCAGAUAUGUAAAUAGUUGGUUAUUAUAUUUUUUGAUAUAUAAAUAUUGCUGUCCAGAAGUUCCAAACCUAGCAAAGGACAAGUAAUGAACAUCUUCAACACUAAACCACUAAAUUAGAUAUGACGUUAAUAGCAACCAUUUAAUGUAGUUUGGCUCUGCUUUGAUGGCCAUUUUAAUUAGAUUGCUGCUGUGCUGAACUGAAAAGCUGCUGACAGCUUCAGAAAACUAUGGCUUGCAAUACAGAAUCUCACAUGAUGUUGUUGGAUCCCAAUUUGCAUGUAUAACUAAUGAGGUACGUCUCUCUUUGGGCAGCUCUUAGAGGACUGUAAUUUGAUUCGGAUGUCAGGCAAACACAUGGGCAUUCACCACCAACUCCCUGGCCUAUGAUCUGAGUACUAAGGACUAUUCCUUUGAUGGGCUCCAGCGGUGGGACGCUGCAACUGCUGUAACAAUUGCUGCCUUAUUAUGAGGUUAAUAGCUACUUGGUCUGUUGAUUUAAAUGUCAAAUGCUUGUCACCACGUGUGUGGACAAGAAGAUUAGAUGAAUUUUAAUAGUAAAGAGGGGAAGUACUACAAAUACCUCUCAACAGCAAUCAAAAUCCCAGCAGAACAAAAACCUUGCACAAGAAAUAGUAUCCCAUGCAAUUAGUUUGAUCUCAAAUGUAGGACAUCAUCCCUUCUGUAACUUUGUAGAAGAACUAAAGAAGUUAAAGUCCAGCUUCCCUUGAACUCCACAGGAAAAGAGGAAGGAGAAAAAUGACUGCAUUAUGGAAUCAUAGACAUCAAAUACAUCAAAAGGGAAAAGCACCGUAACUUCAGGUUUUCAUUUAUAUGUCUAGUCACUAGCUGAU